AACGCGAAGAACCUUACCAAGGCUUGACAUCCUCCUGCCGGGCUCGUAAUGGAGUCUUUCCCUUCGGGGACGGGAGAGACAGGUGGUGCAUGGUUGUCGUCAGCUCGUGUCGUGAGAUGUUGGGUUAAGUCCCGCAACGAGCGCAACCCUUAUCCUUAGUAGCCAGCGAGUAAAGUCGGGCACUCUAGAGAGACUGCCGGGGUUAACCCGGAGGAAGGUGGGGAUGACGUCAAAUCAUCAUGCCCCUUAUGUCUUGGGCUACACACGUGCUACAAUGGCUGCGACAAAGGGAAGCGAAGGGGUGACCUGGAGCGAAACCCAAAAAAGCAGUCCCAGUUCGGAUUGUAGUCUGCAACUCGACUACAUGAAGUCGGAAUCGCUAGUAAUCGCGAAUCAGCAUGUCGCGGUGAAUACGUUCCCGGGUCUUGUACACACCG
RNAcentral lists this ribosomal RNA (437 nucleotides) under uncultured bacterium. RNAcentral describes it as "bacterial SSU rRNA". It matches the Rfam family "Bacterial small subunit ribosomal RNA", at positions 958 to 1392 of the family's 1533-position model. The record is from RNAcentral.